Molecule: long non-coding RNA, 1496 nt
Filed under: Mytilus galloprovincialis (Mediterranean mussel)
Lineage: Eukaryota; Metazoa; Mollusca; Bivalvia; Mytilida; Mytilidae
Source: RNAcentral
UGCUUUAUUUCAUUAUUUUUAUUGUAAGCUCUGCUUUUGCAAUAAUUUAUUGUAAACAGUUUAAUAUCAAGUUUAAUCGCGUCCCAAAGAAGAUGCACAUCCGUAGUUGUGUCUUGCAUAAUUGUUUUGUAUUUUGCAAUAAUUAUUUCUAUUUCUUUACAAUAUUCAUUUUCUUCUAAAAUGGAAUUAUUUAAUUUCCAGUAUCCUGGACCUCUACUCUCGGCCGUUACGCUUUGUAAUUUUAGAGACACGCCUUGGUGGUCUGUGCUUUUUAUUAGUGCGGGUCUUAUGUCGCUUGAUUUUGUAUUGAGCACAAAAUCUUUAUUUAUUAAAAAGUAAUCAAUUCUACUAGCUUGACUGAAGUUUUGUCUUUUCCAGGUAUACUGUAUUUUUUUAGGAUUUAAAUAUCGCCAUAUAUCGAUUAGAUUGUGUGUUUUAAUUAAAGAUUUUAAACUAUUUACUGGUUUUAUAUUUUUGCGUUUUCCAUUAGUAAGUUUUCUAUCUAAGUUUGACAGUGCAUCGUUCAUGUCGCCGCCUAUUAUUACCGUUCCAAUUGCAUAAUUACUUAUGAAAUCAGACAGAUUUUUAAAGAACUUGUUUCUUUCCGUUUCUAUGUUUGGUGCAUAUAUGUUAAUGAGCGAAUAAAUUAUAUUUUCUAUUUCUAUGUUUAACAUUAGUAUUCUACCGUCUUUGUCUUUGUUUUCAUUGAUUACUUUACAUUCUAACUUAUUAUCAAUUAUAAUGGCUACCCCUUUACUUUGGGUUGUACCAUGACUAAAAUAGAUAACGUUACUAGUUUCAGUAUAUAAUUUUUUUUCAAGAUUUUCAUCAAAGUGACUUUCUUGUAUAAAAGUUAUAAGACUUUUUUGAUUUUUUAUCCAUUGAUAAAAUCUUGUUCUUUUCUCUUUAUCUCUGAGUCCUUUAACAUUCAGCGUACAUAUGUGGAUGUCUUUUAUCAUAUUGAUUGUUUUUAAAUUUGUUAUUUAUUUUAUUUAAAGUACGCUUGACUGACUCGUAACUACUUUCUUUGUUGAUAAAUUCUAAAGGUGUAACACGUGACAACCUGAUGGUAAAGUUGUUUAAAGCUGUUGGGUUACUUUUAGUGCCAUUUAUUAAAAUUUCAAAGUUGUUUAUUAUUUUGAUUCUAGUCUUAGGUGGUUUGUGUAUUCUUUCCUUUCUUAGUGCACAUUUAAUUUUAAAAAGUGAAGAUAAAAAUAGGCAUUGUUUUGUCUUCACACAUACACAGUUGUUGUUUAUAUAAAUAUUUUUAUCUGGGACUUUCAAUUUUUUAUUUUUUAUUUUAUUAGCUUUUUUCCUAAAUGUGCCUAGUUUAGUUAAAGUUUCCGCUAGCCGUAUGUGAUUGCUUGGCAUGUUUGUUCUAACUUUAAAUAUAAACUUUAAGAUGUUUUCUGAUCUUAUGUAUGUUAUAAGAUGUUUACAUAUUAUACAAUGUAUACAAUAUAGAACUACGAGUACAUAACAGUAGCGCAAGCUUG